GAAAGCCUUGGGCUCAAUGUCCAGUACUGGAAAAAAAGUUUCUCAUUUAAUUUUAAUUUCAAUGUGGUAUCCCUUUACUAACUAUGGGUUUUUAUAAUAGAUGCAUUGGUCCGGUGAGGUACCAAUGAAACCAGUGUCAUGUUUAUCUUCACACAGAUCUAACUCUGUUGAACCUCUUUUGGAUGCUCCUGCAUGCCGGGCAUGGUACAAGACACUAGGAUGACAGAUGGACCACAUCAGUGCUGGGAUGUGCUGAGACUCAGUUGGUGAGCACAGACUGAUGCCCACCUCUCUCUGGGCUGGGAGGCAACUUGCAAAGGAAUGCUAAAUGGUCCUCUUCACCCACUAGCAAAGAACAAUCAAGUGCUUGGAUCAAAAAACACUGGUAUGAUUACAAACCCCU
Molecule: long non-coding RNA, 403 nt
Filed under: Fukomys damarensis (Damara mole-rat)
Lineage: Eukaryota; Metazoa; Chordata; Mammalia; Rodentia; Bathyergidae
Description: lncRNA (ENSFDAG00000023708.1)
Source: RNAcentral